CCUACGGGUGGCAGCAGUGAGGAAUAUUGGUCAAUGGGCGUAAGCCUGAACCAGCCAAGUCGCGUGAGGGAUGAAGGUUCUAUGGAUCGUAAACCUCUUUUAUAAGGGAAUAAAGUGUGGGACGUGUCCUAUUUUGUAUGUACCUUAUGAAUAAAGAUCGUCUAACUCCGUGCCAGCAGCCGCGGUAAUACGGAGGAUCCGAGCGUUCUCCGGAUUUAUUGGGUUUAAAGGGUUCGUAGGCGGCCGUUUAAGUCAGCGGCGAAAGUCUGUGGCUCAACCAUAGAAUUGCCGUUGAAACUGGGGGUCUUGAGUAUGUUGGAGGCAGGCGGAAUGCGUGGUGGAGCGGUGAAAUGCUUAGAUAUCACGCAGAACCCCGAUUGCGAAGGCAGCCUGCCAAGCCAUGACUGACGCUGAUGCACGAAAGCGUGGGGAUCAAACAGGAUUAGAUACCCGAGUAGUC
RNAcentral lists this ribosomal RNA (460 nucleotides) under uncultured bacterium. RNAcentral describes it as "partial 16S ribosomal RNA". It matches the Rfam family "Bacterial small subunit ribosomal RNA", at positions 338 to 795 of the family's 1533-position model. The record is from RNAcentral.